Molecule: long non-coding RNA, 3513 nt
Organism: Canis lupus familiaris (dog)
Lineage: Eukaryota; Metazoa; Chordata; Mammalia; Carnivora; Canidae
Exons: 3
Source: RefSeq, a predicted model, not a curated record
UCUUGCCAACAGGAUGCACAGGAAAUGCCAGUGUUCUAAUGCCAACCGCUCCCCACCCCUCAGGAAACCCUGCCACUGAUCUCAGAAAAAGUCCAGGCUUGCCUGCUGGCAGAUGAGUGACUUCAUGGCACAGAGUCCAAUCAGUAUUGUCCCACUGAAGCCCCAGAUACAAAGAGCGCUCAGCCAAGGACAGUAGAGUGACCUCACCAAGCCGCAGCUGACCGCAGACAUGCUAGUUCUGGACCUUCCAUCUGUACGUGUUCACAUGAUGGCUGGUAGGCAUCCAACACCACAUGGCCACAGAAUCUUCUCUUCACCUGAAAAGCUGAUAGAAAAGGGGAACUAGCAUUCACCAGCUUUUCUUUGGUUUGUGAAAGAGAAGAACUGCUUACAUAAUUAAAUUUGUUUUGCCAUUUUUAAUCUUAUUACUCCAAAAGAUCCACUUCAAAUCCUGCUUUACACCUAAAAUUGUGUGAUAUUUUAGAAUAGCAGAGGUAAUCCUUGGAGGAAGACAUAAAAAAAUGAUAGGUUUUCUGUAGAUUACCUAAUCAUUUUCCAAACAGUAUAGAAAAUAAUUUGUAAACUACCACUUAUAAGGACAUGCAUCUUGGAAUCACUUACAUGAAGCGUUUCCUAAGCAAAUUAUUGGUACACGUGUAUGAGAUUAAUAUGAAGUUUAAAAGAUAUGUUGCAUGUUAUAAAUAGGCUGCUACAGUAUGCACCUAUUACUUCAAGAAAGACGCCACUGAAAGCAAAUUUCAUUGUAUUGAAAUGGGACCACCUCUUUUCUGACCCAUGCUGGGUGUAUAGGACUACGCUGCUUCCUUCUCCAGGAAAUGAUGCAAAAAUUAUUACUGUUAGAGACAAAAGGAUGAUUUUUUUUCCUGGAAAAAUGAUACUUGUUCAACUUGGGAUUCUGUGUCAGAUUAUAUAUACAGAUUCUCAGUUCCUCAGAGGCAAAGCUCCUGUGGAUCCAAUUUCUUUAAAGCCUCUCUAGAUCACUGCUAUCUGUCCAGUUGAUACAACUCCCUGGGCCAGGUGCCUCCCCAGCCAGCAUCCUCAGCCCAAACACAAAAGAAGGUGGCAGGUAUCUAUUGUUAGGUCUCAUCUCAGCCAUUCACCAAGAAACCUACAAGAAUAAGAAAGGAAUGAGUUCUGACUUGGGGAGGUUGGAAUGGUUCAGAUGAGUAAACAGUAAUCAUUAUUCAAACCAGCUGCUCAAAAGUUCUCUGGGGAAUUUCUCUUUUUCGUAAUAUUUGCAAUGCUUAGAGAGAAGGGUAUAGCCUAUUCUAGGUUACAGCUUCCCACUGUAUACUUUAUGAAAAAGACUGUAUAUAUAUUUAUGUAUGUAAAUAAAAAUCUAUCUUAGGGUAAAGCAAGAAGAGAGGGAGGAGUCAGGUUUAUUUUGUGGUUAGUCUGAGGAAAGAAUGGAGAAGCCCGCAUUGUUUUCUCCACAAUGGCAGAUCACGUUGUAAUGUCUGAGAAAUGAAAGGUUUCUCGGUGUCUAUUACUAAUGACCGUGCUCGGUCUCAUGGUCUCAUGGCAGCAAAGCCAGUUUCCAUUCCUUUAAUAACGCUGAGCUGAAUAAACUCCAAAUCCGAAAUAUAAGGGUGAUUGAAGAUUACUUUGGUCAAUGAAAAAAUAUUUUAUAGGAAAGUUAUUAUACUAGUAAAGAGAAAAGGAAUUUUUCUUCAAGAACAUGACUACACUGAAUAUUUCUUAGAAACCUAUUUCAAAAGUAGAGUAGGUAAUUCACUUUUUUCAUUUCCUAUUAAGCUUUUUUAAAGCUUUUGCUGAAACAUUUCUAAAUGGGGGAAAAAUAACAAAGGUCAUACAGUCUCAGUUAAAAAAGGUGAUUAUGUGUGGAUUAGCACAUUUUGAAGAAAAAAUGGUGCUUCCUAUAUUUGCUGCAUUUUAGUAUAAGUCAAAUUUAAUUAGCUGAGUUAUGAAGCAGUAUCAAAAAUUCUUUUGCUGCAGUAUUAGGCGUGAAAUGUCUUUAUGGGAUUAUUGUAAGCCUCGUUUACAUUUAUCAGCUUGUCAUUCUUUUAAAAAGUGCUUUGGAAGACAGCACCAAUUAAAAAAUUCAGUGGGGCUGAAACCCAAAGAGCAAUGUGGAGCAAUUACACAGGAGGAGCUCAUGCAUGUCUUCCAGAAGACCCUCAUGUUACUUCAAAAUUUCUCACACAAUGUGUAUGAAGUUGAUUUUUACAGGUAAAUACCUGUUCUUUAAAAUACAUAAGUAGAACUCCGUGAUUUUGCCAAAGGUUCCGCUUAACUUGGGGAGGUCUUGUCUUAAAAGUAAGCUCAGCACUUCAGAAUCCAUUGGUUGGCCAAUUAUUUUAAGUCCUCAACCUCAUUUAAGAUUGAGCACUUAGCUCUUCGCAGUCAUACAGUCAAAAAGGAUUUACCUGGUUCUGAUUAUUUAAUAAGUCAGCAUUUGGACUCAGGUGCAUUUGGGAGCACCAUAUUAAAGGACUUCCAAGUUCUAACAUCCUUCAAGUCGUUUUGUAAGUAAAAGGUGAGGUAUUUCUAGCUCAAUGAAGAAUUUCAAGGAUUGUAAUACAUCAGAAAAAAAAUUAAUUCUAAUAGGAAUGGCCAAUGUGUGUUAUGCAAUUGCAACUGAAUGUUUCCUGAGGCUUUUCUCUUCCAUUACUACUGACAAGGGGAAAUGAGUCUUUGCAGACUUUAAAUUUACAGGGAUAAAGUGAUAUUUCUUACAAACAUUAAGGCUCAUCAUUAGCCAUCAUCCUAAAGGGUAUCCAAAAAGUCAUCGUGUUCUCACAGAGGAUGAUCUCAUCCCAGAAUGUGGAGAUGAAAACAUCUGAAAAAACAGGAUAUAAAUAAUCUUCCUUAUGGCGAGUCACCAAGCAUAGCUUGUUAUGAACUACUGUGAAAUACAUAUGUGUUUAGAUAGCUGUGUCACCACUAGGGGUAGAUGACUCGGUGAUUUUCAAAUUUUGUUCAGCCUGAAGAGUUUCAGGUGCGCUCUGGGGGCAUGUAGGGAGUGAUGCAAAGAGGUGCUAAUAUGGGGACCUGGGAAGGUGCACUGCAGGGAAAUGACAGGGAGGCAUCUUCUGGACAGGGGUACCCCAGACCCUCUUCAGCCUUCCUGAAGCACAGGAAGACAGCUUGGUUUUACACACAGGGUUUCUGCAGAGGAUUUUAUUUGAGAAGAUACUUCUGCUAUUAGAAAUAAUGAAAACCACCCCCUGGGAAGCCAUCUGGCCCAAACCUUCAUGAAACUUCUAGUUCAACAUGGCAUUUGGAACACAGGUAUCUGUUGACAUUCUCUUCUAAAAUCCUGGUGAAAUAAUAUUAGAGGAAGAAAAAAAAGUAUAACUCUCCAUGGACAAAGAAAAAGGUAUAAUUUCUCCAAGGACAAAGAAAGUGGAAUCAGAGACAACAGCACACAAGAGAGCGUGAAAAAAUGUUGGAAGAUAAAAUGCAGAUGGGUGAGGGGUGUUUGACCUAACAUUUCAAUUUACUGGGUGCUUGCAGGGUGGCUGGUUGGGG